GUGAAGCGGCAACAGCUCAAAUUUGAAAUCUGGCGCACGCCCGAGUUGUAAUUUGUAGAGGAUGCUUCUGGGUAGCGACCGGUCUAAGUUCCUUGGAACAGGACGUCAUAGAGGGUGAGAAUCCCGUAUGUGACCGGCCCGCACCCUCCACGUAGCUCCUUCGACGAGUCGAGUUGUUUGGGAAUGCAGCUCUAAAUGGGAGGUAAAUUUCUUCUAAAGCUAAAUACCGGCCAGAGACCGAUAGCGCACAAGUAGAGUGAUCGAAAGAUGAAAAGUACUUUGGAAAGAGAGUUAAAAAGCACGUGAAAUUGUUGAAAGGGAAGCGCCUGCAACUAGACUUCGCGGUGGUGUUCCGCCGGUCUUUUGACCGGUCCAUUCUCCACCGCGAGGCCAUCAUCGUCUGGGCCCGCCGGAUAAGACCUUGGGAAUGUAGCUCACCUUCGGGGGAGUGUUAUAGCCCAGGGUGAUGCGGCGAGGCUCGGGCGAGGUCCGCGCCUCGGCAAGGAUGAUGGCGUAAUGGUUGUCGGCGGCCCGUCUUGAAACACGGACCAAGGAGUCUAACAUCUAUGCGAGUGUUCGGGCGUCAAACCCCUACGCGUAAUGAAAGUGAACGGAGGUGGGAACCGCAAGGUGCACCAUCGACCGAUCCUGAUGUCCUCGGAUGGAUUUGAGUAAGAGCAUAGCUGUUGGGACCCGAAAGAUGGUGAACUAUGCCUGAAUAGGGUGAAGCCAGAGGAAACUCUGGUGGAGGCUCGCAGCGGUUCUGACGUGCAAAUCGAUCGUCAAAUUUGGGUAUAGGGGCG
This 803-nucleotide ribosomal RNA is filed under the name Phloeospora ulmi. RNAcentral's name for it is "eukaryotic LSU rRNA". It matches the Rfam family "Eukaryotic large subunit ribosomal RNA", at positions 93 to 925 of the family's 3401-position model. Lineage: Eukaryota; Fungi; Ascomycota; Dothideomycetes; Mycosphaerellales; Mycosphaerellaceae. The record is from RNAcentral.